CUGUAUCAUGCAUCUUUCUUCAAACAGGUCUAUUUCUUCAGCCUUCUCUGGGUCACAUCUUCCCAUUAAUCCAUAGCACCCACAUACCCCUUUACUCAAUUUUCACACUCUGUAGUUAUGCCAUCUUUCUUAUCUUCUUCGAACACAUUCCUUUCUUACAAAUAUUCAUUUGGAGUGCUUUCCUUUUUCCAACCCUCUCUUUAUAUGCUAUUUUUAUUAUAUACAAUUUUUUUUUUUUU
Non-coding RNA from Pelobates cultripes (western spadefoot toad), 239 nucleotides. The record is from the annotation of a GenBank genome assembly. NCBI's taxonomy places the organism in Eukaryota, Metazoa, Chordata, Amphibia, Anura, Pelobatidae.